Heterocephalus glaber (naked mole-rat) is the source of this 1589-nucleotide long non-coding RNA. RefSeq lists it as uncharacterized. NCBI's taxonomy places the organism in Eukaryota, Metazoa, Chordata, Mammalia, Rodentia, Bathyergidae. The record is from RefSeq and is a predicted model, not a curated record.
CACCCCCUUUCCCACAUGGUUCAACUUUCCUGUCUGUUUUUCCAUUAUUCCAUUAAGAUCAUGAUUAAUGGAAGCUCUCCUGAAUUUCAAAUAUUUUGAAAUCUGGCCAAGACCUAUUCGGAGGCUAAAUUGAAAACAAAUAACAAUAAAAAUAAGGUGAUGCAGGCUUUUAGUCUUUAGCGAAACCAUCACUGUGAUCUUUGUACCACUGCUACAGAAGAGGACAACAUUUCACAUUUCUGGCAUUGUUACUGACAACACGGCAACUGAAAGCAAGCAUGAAUUUCUGGGAGUAGCAUUAGGGUACAAGACUCCUGCUGAGCGCACCAGUUCCUUGCUCUGCACAGCUGCCUUCUCAGCUGGGGGUUUGAAAUCAGCACUGGGAGAAAAGACCGAAAUGACCAUGACGCAUGUGCCUCUCUAUGAGAAAAGAUAGUGGCGAUUUCAUAUUGCGUGCCCACAUUCAAAGUCUACCAGACUCAAGCUGAAGAACAGGCAGUUUGUGAAAUGAACAAUGCGAUCACUUGCAGAGGGGACGUGGUGAAAUGUUCAUCAUCUAAAGCAACAAUUCCUCCCAGGGAGGCACUGUGUGAGGACUUGGGUAUCCAGCAUGUAGCAAGAAAGACAGAGCCAUAGAACUUGGUAAAGGAAACAAGUUAUACCAAGCAAACAAAGAGAGAAAUGUAGUUUCGAAUUGUGUGGCCGAAGUCCACAGAACAGGAAUCCCAGAAGGAAAAGUGCAGGCUCACGGGCAAGCCGGAAGUGAAGGGGCUGAAGUGGAACUAAUUAGUGUGGACAGUACCCACGUGUGCCUCUCAUUGCUCUCAGGCUUCUGGCUUCAGUGAAGGGCAUCCUGCAUGAGCAGAUGGUGCCUUCCUCAUGAUGAUCAGAACAUACCUGGCCCAUGUUUUGGAGAUGUUGACUCAAUACAACUGGAAGUGAAGGAACUAUUUGUUUGAAAAAAAUUCUUUUCCUCAUUUGAGACUGGUGUUAAGAAAGGUAAAACUUGGACCUGGUUGAGCAUUGUGGUGUGAUGAUACCAUGAUAUGCUAAGGACCAUCCAUGGAAGUGCAUUUGCUUGAUCUCAUAAUUUGUCCCACUUUACCUGUUUUAUGCUAUUGCUUUUUCAUAUGACUUUUCUUAAAAUCACCAAUUUUUGCAUAAAAUGUUCCUAAAGCUAUUUUUGUAAAUAGGAUGACUUUGAUUUCCUUGGUUUGGUGAGUGGUUCUGCCUAUACUUUGCAGAAAUUCUAUUCUUUAAUUCUAGGCUUUGAGGUGGAAUUGUCUGAGACAGGGUUUGCACUCUGAAAAUUUGUAAAUGAUUUACUUCUGGUGUUCAUUCUUGAUCAUUCUGACCCAUGACUUUAAACUGAUUUCCUUCUUCUGAGACAUUCACUCCUUAGGAAUAUUUAACAAAUUCCUUCAGCUAUAUGAUGGAUAACAAGAUACAUCAAAUGUUACAGAGAAUCCACUUGGUUUGAUUAAUAAUCUAUUCCUCUGAAUUGUUUGAGGAGUGGAUGCUUGUACACACUUGUUUAGAAAAAUUUUCUUUAAUUUGAAAUGAAGUACUAGCUGUUGUUAAAAUUUUGC